CCAAUAGCGUAUAUUAAAGUUGUUGCAGUUAAAAAGCUCGUAGUUGAAUUUCAGGCCUGGCUGGACGGUCCGCCCUUCGGGUGAGUACUGUCUGUGGUCGGGUCCUACCUUCUGGCGAAGCGUCAUGGCCUUAACCGGCCGUGGCGGGGAACCGGGACUUUUACUGUGAAAAAAUUAGAGUGUUCAAAGCAGGCAAAUCGCUUGGAUACAUUAGCAUGGAAUAAUGGAAUAGGACAAUGGUUCUAUUUGUUGGUUUCUAGGACCGUUGUAAUGAUUAAUAGGGAUAGUUGGGGGCAUUAGUAUUCAAUUGUCAGAGGUGAAAUUCUUGGAUUUAUUGAAGACUAACUACUGCGAAAGCAUUUGCCAAGGAUGUUUUCAUUAAUCAAGAACGAAAGUUAGGGGAUCGAAGACGAUCAGAUACCGUCGUAGUCUUAACCAUAAACUAUGCCGACUAGGAAUCGGGCGAUGUUGAAAAAAUGACGCGCUCGGCACCUCAUG
Molecule: unclassified non-coding RNA, 498 nt
Filed under: uncultured Paraglomus
Lineage: Eukaryota; Fungi; Glomeromycota; Glomeromycetes; Paraglomerales; Paraglomeraceae
Description: SSU rRNA
Rfam family: Eukaryotic small subunit ribosomal RNA
Source: RNAcentral